GAUGAAUGCUGGCGGCGUGCCUAACACAUGCAAGUCGAGCGGCAGCGCGAGUAGUUUACUACUUGGCGGCGAGCGGCGGACGGCUGAGUAACACGUGGGAACGUGCCCCAAAGUGAGGGAUAACGCACCGAAAGGUGUGCUAAUACCGCAUAUGGUCUUCGGAUUAAAGAAUUUAUUCGCUUUGGGGGCGGCCCGCGUCGGAUUAGGUAGUUGGUAGGGUAAUGGCCUACCAAGCCGACGAUCCGUAGCUGGUCUGAGAGGAUGAUCAGCCAGACUGGAACUGAGACACGGUCCAGACUCCUACGGGAGGUAGCAGUGAGGAAUCUUCCACAAUGGGCGAAAGCCUGAUGGAGCAACGCCGCGUGCAGGAUGAGGGCCUUCGGGUUGUAAACUGCUUUUAUAAGUGAAGAAUAUGACGGUAACUUAUGAAUAAGCACCGGCUAACUACGUGCCAGCCGCCGCAGUAA
This 467-nucleotide ribosomal RNA is filed under the name uncultured bacterium. RNAcentral's name for it is "partial 16S ribosomal RNA". It matches the Rfam family "Bacterial small subunit ribosomal RNA", at positions 28 to 523 of the family's 1533-position model. The record is from RNAcentral.